AGAGUUUGAUCAUGGCUCAGAGCGAACGCUGGCGGCAGGCUUAACACAUGCAAGUCGAGCGGGUGUAGCAAUACAUCAGCGGCAGACGGGUGAGCAACGCGUGGGAACGUACCUUUUGGUUCGGAACAACCCAGGGAAACUUGGGCUAAUACCGGAUAAGCCCUUACGGGGAAAGAUUUAUCGCCGAAAGAUCGGCCCGCGUCUGAUUAGCUAGUUGGUGAGGUAAUGGCUCACCAAGGCGACGAUCAGUAGCUGGUCUGAGAGGAUGAUCAGCCACAUUGGGACUGAGACACGGCCCAAACUCCUACGGGAGGCAGCAGUGGGGAAUAUUGGACAAUGGGGGCAACCCUGAUCCAGCCAUGCCGCGUGAGUGAUGAAGGCCCUAGGGUUGUAAAGCUCUUUUGUGCGGGAAGAUAAUGACGGUACCGCAAGAAUAAGCCCCGGCUAACUUCGUGCCAGCAGCCGCGGUAAUACGAAGGGGGCUAGCGUUGCUCGGAAUCACUGGGCGUAAAGGGUGCGUAGGCGGGUCUUUAAGUCAGGGGUGAAAUCCUGGAGCUCAACUCCAGAACUGCCUUUGAUACUGAAGAUCUUGAGUCCGGGAGAGGUGAGUGGAACUGCGAGUGUAGAGGUGAAAUUCGUAGAUAUUCGCAAGAACACCAGUGGCGAAGGCGGCUCACUGGCCCGGUACUGACGCUGAGGCACGAAAGCGUGGGGAGCAAACAGGAUUAGAUACCCCCGUAGUCC
RNAcentral lists this ribosomal RNA (744 nucleotides) under uncultured bacterium. RNAcentral describes it as "bacterial SSU rRNA". It matches the Rfam family "Bacterial small subunit ribosomal RNA", at positions 8 to 796 of the family's 1533-position model. The record is from RNAcentral.